GCUGUGGGGUGUCGGCGAGGGCACGGCUAGUAGUGGGGGUUGUAGGUUCUUGGCCUCAAAGCCGCGCCAGGACGGCAGAGGAGGAGAGGGGGUGUAAAGCCUACAGGAAAAAUCCCGGCUCCAGAUGGGCUUCUCUAAAAUCGUCCUCCAAGGGGAGGGGACAGCACGGCCUAAUUUUAGGCAGAGUGCCCUAGUAUUACUGUGGAUGUACAGGUUAGUCGGGAGGGAGAAUAAAGGCUGGAGCUGAAGCAUUCUAGUCGAGGAGGAAAGUCUGCGCUGGCAUAUUCACCUGGGAGCAACAGAUGGGUGAUCUCUGGUUCGCUCAUAACUGGUGCUCUGAGAAACAGAGAAUUGGACAAAAUUCCCAUCCUGUGGAGCUUACAGUCAGAAAAAUCCUCUACACACAAAGCAGGCUGACAGAAUAGCAGCUGAUCUGCAGCCCCAGGAGUGCAGGUCUUUGCCAGAUGAACCAGGUACUCUUCAAUCUCGGAAGCCUCUCAUCAUCUCACAAUGAUACUGUUGUAUCAAAAAUGCACAGUAAGAAGCAGACUCCAGAAAAAUACUAUGUUGGAAUUGACGUUGGCUCAGCAAGUGUCCGUGCAGCAUUGGUCGAUGGGCUUGGGACAGUGGUGGCACAUGCAGAGCACCCAAUCCAAAUUUGGGAGCCCCAGCCAGACCACUACGAGCAAUCCUCUACAGACAUAUGGGCUGCUUGCUGCUCAGUCACAAAGAAAGUCGUCUCUGGAGUAGAUGCUAGCCACAUUCGAGGAGUUGGGUUUGAUGCUACAUGUUCCCUUGUUGUUAUGGAUAAACAAUUCCAGCCUUUGGCAGUCAACAGUGAAGGCCAAAACUAUAGGAAUGUCAUUAUGUGGAUGGACCAUCGUGCAGUCAGUCAAGUUGAGCGCAUCAAUGCAACACAACACAGGGUUUUGAGCUAUGUAGGGGGAGUGAUGUCUGUGGAAAUGCAGCCACCUAAAUUGCUGUGGAUAAAGGAGAACCUGCAAGAAUCAUGCUGGGAGAAGGCAGGCCACUUCUUUGAUCUUCCAGAUUUCUUAUCUUGGAAAGCCACAGGUGUCACUGCAAGGUCCCUCUGUACAGUAGUGUGCAAGUGGACGUAUACCUCAGAUAAAGGUUGGGAUGACAGUUUCUGGAAAAUGAUUGGUUUGGAAGAUUUGGUAGAGGAUAAGUAUGAAAAAAUAGGAAACCACGUCUUGUCUCCUGGAGAGUCUGUUGGAAAAGGUCUAACACCAGAAGCUGCAAAAGAUCUGGGUCUUCCUGAAGGGAUUGCGGUAGCAGCAUCUCUCAUUGAUGCCCAUGCUGGAGGACUAGGAGUAAUUGGAGCAGAUGUGAAAGGACAUAACCUGCCAUGUGAGAACCAGCCAAUUACAUCCCGGGUUGCUAUGAUCUGUGGAACAUCUUCAUGCCACAUGGGGGUCAGUGAAACACCCAUUUUUGUGCCUGGUGUCUGGGGACCUUAUUUCUCUGCCAUGGUACCUGGACUGUGGUUGAAUGAGGGAGGCCAAAGUGCUACAGGCAAGCUGAUAGAUCAUGUGGUCCGAGGCCAUGUCGCCUUCCCGGAAUUACAGGCAAAAGCUGCAGCCAGUGCUCACAGUAUAUAUACAUACUUGAACAGUCACCUGGAUCUGAUUAAGAAAUCUUUGCCUGUGGGUUUCCUCACUGUUGAUUUACAUGUUUGGCCAGAUUUCCAUGGCAACAGAUCUCCCUUAACAGAUCUGACACUAAAGGGCAUGGUUGUUGGACUAACAUUGUCUCAGGGUCUGGAUGAACUUGCCCUUAUCUACUUGGCCACGAUUCAAGCCAUUGCUUUAGGAACAAGACAUAUUUUGGAAACUAUGCAGGCUGCAGGGCAUCAUAUCAACACGCUGUUCCUGUGCGGUGGGCUGAGCAAGAACCCUCUCUUUGUGCAGAUGCAUGCUGACAUUACUGGCAAGCCUGUUGUCCUGUCCAAAGAAGUGGAGUCUGUGUUGGUGGGUGCUGCUAUUCUUGGAGCCUGUGCUUCUGGGGAUUUUGCAUCUAUACAGCGGGAUUGCUCAGGAGAAUGUACAGAAAAUCAGAACCUCACAGGGAUCAGGAAAGGAACUAAAUAAUUCCAUCCUCUCCCUUCCACAUGUGAAUCUAUCCCAGAGACUCCUUCUGCAGGGAAUUCUGCUGCAUCCCUUUGUCUGACUUGGCUUUGGCCAAAAGCAGAGUAGGAUCAAAGAGGCCAUGGCGAAAAUGGGGAAAGUUGGGAGAGUUGUGCAGCCCAACCAUGAGCAUAAAAGGUAAUCCUGACUUUUGUGGGGUCCUCUGUGAGGAUUUAUGGCGUGUGAAGUUAAGGCCUGUCUCUUUAUAGCCCUGACUGGAUGCAGUAGUAGUUAUCACCCCCAUUUUUGAAGGAUUACCAUGGAAUCUGACUGGUUUGGGUUGAAAAGGACCUUAAAGCUCAUCCAAUUCC
RNA transcript from Neopsephotus bourkii (Bourke's parrot), 2455 nucleotides. It is a transcript of the gene named FGGY carbohydrate kinase domain containing, with no coding region annotated. The record is from RefSeq and is a predicted model, not a curated record. NCBI's taxonomy places the organism in Eukaryota, Metazoa, Chordata, Aves, Psittaciformes, Psittacidae. The transcript is spliced from 18 exons.